This is a long non-coding RNA of Orcinus orca (killer whale), 2737 nucleotides long. RefSeq lists it as uncharacterized. The transcript is spliced from 3 exons. Lineage: Eukaryota; Metazoa; Chordata; Mammalia; Artiodactyla; Delphinidae. The record is from RefSeq and is a predicted model, not a curated record.
GAUGCAAACUAGCGUGUAUAGGAUGGAUAAACAAGGUUCUACUGUAUAGCACGGGGAACUAUAUUCAUAUCCUGUGAUAAACCAUAAUGGAAAAGAAUAUGAAAGAGAAUGUAUAUAUAUAUAACUGCGUCACUUUGCUGUACAGCAGAAAUUAACACAACAUUGCCAAUCAACUAUACUUCAAUAAAAUUAAAAAAAAAAGGUAGAAUCUAAUUCUCUUCCCCUUGAAUCUGGGCUGGCCAUAGUGACUAGCUUAACCAAUAUAAUGUGGUAGAAAUGACAUUUUGAACUUUCAAGGUUAGGUCAUAAGUCUUGCAGCAUCUGUCUGGGCCUCUUAAAAUGCUUACUGUUUGAAACACUUGCCCUAGGAAACCAGCAGCCAUGCUGGGGUCACCCAAGCCACAUGAAGGGGCCAUGUGCAGGUGUCCUGGUCAAGAGCCCUGGCUGAGCUCUCACUGGACAUCCAGCAUCAACCGUCAGCUAUGUGAGUGAGCCGUCUAGGACAUCCAGACCAGCCUCAAGUUACAAGAUGGCCUCCUCAGCUACGAGCACCAUUACAAAUAACCACAUCUAAAAACAGAAAACUGUGAGAGCAGGAAGCUUGCCAACAGCCAGGUCCCCAACCUUGUGGAGAAAGUGGUCUGGAAAAGUGAUGCUGACAUGAAGAGGAUGUUUGAGUAUUUGGUUCCAGACCUCACUAAAUCCAGUUACAUCCUUGCCAUGAACCAACGGCUCCUGAUAAUACCUUCUCCCUUCCCUUUCUAAGCCUCAGUAUCCUUAUCUAUAAAAUAAUGGGGCUGCAUCCUUCCCCCUUUAUCUCUGAUGCUCUAUUACUAUGUUCAUUAAUUUAUUCUUUCCAUCAAUUAGUCAGUCAGCAUCCCUUGUGCAUCUGUUCUGUCUCUGGCCCUAUGGUGGACACUGAGACUCUUGGUAAAGGAAUAAUUCCCAUCCCCGGUUCUCAAGACUCAGAGUUAGGCAGGGGAGGGAGUUAAGCAACCAUUCAGGACCGAGUGUGGUAACGGCUGUGACAGAGGGAAGCACAAAAACUGGGGGGAUGUCAGAGAAGGAGACAUAUCCUCAUUUGUAAGUCUUCCUGGAGGAGGUGGCAGGAGCUGAGUUUUUCAGACGGGGGUGGGCGCGGAGAGAGGAGGAAGAGUAUUCCAGGCAGAAGAACCUGCCUUUGUAAGGGCCCAAAAGAGAAUGAGAGAAAGUAGCUGCCUGGGGCCGGAGGGGAGGGGACACAGGAGAUGACCUUCUUUGUAUUUUCUAUCCAUGUAACUUCUGGGAAAACAAGAAAAAACACCAUUUUUUAAAGCUUGGAAAAUCCCCAGGGUGGAGUCUUUAAACAGGGAUGAAAAGACGUGACUUCUGACCACAGUAAAGCCCGGAAUGAAUGAUUCUUCCCCUAGUAGGCUGCCCCAUGGGUCCUUGGUCCCAUCACGAAAUCCACGCUCACAGUUGCAUUCAGCGGCUGGUCCUAAGGCUGUUGGAUCCAUCUAAAAAUAGGAAGGCCUGGAGCCUAAGGCCAAGCAGAUGACAGAAGAGCAGCCCAGGAAGGCCUGGGAGGAGUGUAAACAUCCCCACCUCAUAGGAAACACACUCAUUACAUUCUGAGCAAAAGCGGUUAAUGAUGCGCCCUGGAGAAAAUAUGCAGUUAUUGCCCCCAAACAUGCCAAAGCCCUGCUAAUGACUGCACGCCUGCUCCGAAGCAGAAGCUGUUCCAGAUGCUGCCGCUUGUCUCUGGAAGAGCCCUUCCUUCUUCCUGCCUUAGGUUCCGGAAUUUUCCUUGGAUUCUAGUCCUUAGGGAGACAUAUGGUGGGCUGGGGUGGGGAAAGUGAUUGCCCUCCUGGGCCUCACUAGGGGAUCUCUGCCUUACAGACUGCUGUGGAGGCUGUGCCUUCCUGCCUGCCUGGUGUGGUGAGGGAAGGAGGGUGCCAGGCGCGAAGCUGGGAGCCAGCGCUCUAGAUGACGCUGGGGUGAGGGAGGUGAGCUCUAAACUUGAGUAUUUUCAGCUUCUGCAUCUAUAAUGAGUAAUGAGUCUAUAGGGAAGCAGUAAUUUGCAAACUUGAAGCCCCAGACACACUCAGCGAUGGCUGCCACUGGACGAGCCCUGGGCUUGGAACUAUCUCCUGGCUGGGUGACUCUAGGCAGUUGCCCCACCUCUGUGAACCUCCAUACCCUCCUCUGUAAACUGGGGAUGGUUUUGGAAAUUAACAUUUUUUUCUCUUGUUAAAGAACUCAUGCAUGCUUAUUAUCUAUUUUUUAAAUAUGUAAUCAACCCGUCUUUGUGAUACACUCAUAUGAUUUCAAUUCAAGAGAUGCAAACGGAGGAAUUCCGCGGCGGUCCAGUGGUUAGGACUCUGCGCUUUCACUGCUGAGGGCCCGGGUUCAAUCCCUGGUAGUGUCUUCCUCUCACGCCUGUUUGAUAACCACACCAUUUCUCUUCUACCUUGCCAACUGCUAUUGGUUUCUGGUGUAUCAAAUGUAUAAAUUUUAAAAACUUUUAAAUGAGGUAUUAGCACAUAUAAACACAGCAAAAUGCAUAUAUCUCAAGAGCAAAACUUGGUGAAUAAUGUUUAUAGUUUUAAUUCCUAAAAAAAAAAGAAAGAAAAAUGACCCCAAUCUAUCACCUAGAGAUAAAACUGUUGAUAUUGUGGUGUACUUUCUUCCCAUUCUUUUUCUAUGUAUGUAUACAUACAUAAACAUUGAUACCAUACUGUGUGACUGUUUUGGGGGG